AUACGUAGGUGGCAAGCGUUGUCCGGAAUUAUUGGGCGUAAAGCGCAUGUAGGCGGUUUGGUAAGUCGGUCGUGAAAAUGCGGUGCUUAACGCCGUAUGGCGAUUGAAACUGCUGAACUUGAGUGCAGGAGAGGAAAGGGGAAAUCCCAGUGUAGCGGGGAAAUGCGUAGAUAUUGGGAAGAACACCGGUGGCGAAGGCGCCUUUCUGGACUGUGUCUGACGCUCAGAUGCGAAAGCCAGGGUAGCGAACGGGAUUAGAUACCCCGGUAGUCCUGGCCGUAAACGAUGGGUACUAGGUGUGGGAGGUAUCGACUCCUUCCGUGCCGGAGUUAACGCAAUAAGUACCCCGCCUGGGGAGUACGGCCGCAAGGCUUAAACUCAAAUGAAUUGACGGGG
This 396-nucleotide ribosomal RNA is filed under the name uncultured bacterium. Its description in RNAcentral is "partial 16S ribosomal RNA". It matches the Rfam family "Bacterial small subunit ribosomal RNA", at positions 523 to 918 of the family's 1533-position model. The record is from RNAcentral.